RNAcentral lists this ribosomal RNA (254 nucleotides) under uncultured bacterium. Its description in RNAcentral is "partial 16S ribosomal RNA". It matches the Rfam family "Bacterial small subunit ribosomal RNA", at positions 524 to 776 of the family's 1533-position model. The record is from RNAcentral.
UACGAGGGGGGCAAGCGUUGUCCGGAUUUAUUGGGCGUAAAGAGCUCGUAGGCGGUUGGGCAAGUCACGUGUGAAAUCUCCACGCUCAACGUGGAGGCGCCACGUGAGACUGCCCUGACUCGAGUCCGGUAGGGGAGCGUGGAAUUCCUGGUGUAGCGGUGAAAUGCGCAGAUAUCAGGAGGAACACCAGCGGCGAAGGCGGCGCUCUGGGCCGGUACUGACGCUGAGGAGCGAAAGCGUGGGUAGCAAACAGG